UACAGAGGUCCCGAGCGUUGUUCGGAUUCAUUGGGCGUAAAGGGUGCGUAGGUGGCGCCGUAAGUGGGGUGUGAAAUUUCGGAGCUUAACUCCGAAACUGCAUUCCAUACUGCGGUGCUUGAGGACUGGAGAGGAGACUGGAAUUUACGGUGUAGCAGUGAAAUGCGUAGAGAUCGUAAGGAAGACCAGUGGCGAAGGCGGGUCUCUGGACAGUUCCUGACACUGAGGCACGAAGGCCAGGGGAGCAAACGGG
RNAcentral lists this ribosomal RNA (253 nucleotides) under uncultured bacterium. Its description in RNAcentral is "partial 16S ribosomal RNA". It matches the Rfam family "Bacterial small subunit ribosomal RNA", at positions 524 to 776 of the family's 1533-position model. The record is from RNAcentral.